ACUCAAAGGAAUAGACGGGGGCCCGCACAAGCAGCGGAGCGUGUGGUUUAAUUCGAUGCAACGCGAAGAACCUUACCCAGACUUGACAUGACCGGGAAAGCCCCGGAAACGGGGGCCUCUUCGGACCAGGUCACAGAUGUUGCAUGGCUGUCGUCAGCUCGUGUCGUGAGAUGUUGGGUUAAGUCCCGCAACGAGCGCAACCCUCGUGGGCUGUUGCAAGUCAGCCCAGACUGCCGGUACAAGCCGGAGGAAGGUGGGGAUGAUGUCAAGUCCGCAUGGCUCUUAUGUCUGGGGCGACACACACGCUACAAUGGCCGGGACAGAGCGCCGCCACGGGGCGACCCGGAGCGAAUCGCAAAACCCGGUCUCAGUUCGGAUGGCAGGCUGCAACCCGCCUGCCUGAAGUCGGAGUUGCUAGUAACCGCGUGUCAGCAUAGCGCGGUGAAUAUGUUCCCGGGCCUUGUACACACCGCCCGU
Molecule: ribosomal RNA, 477 nt
Filed under: uncultured bacterium
Lineage: Bacteria
Description: partial 16S ribosomal RNA
Rfam family: Bacterial small subunit ribosomal RNA
Source: RNAcentral